AUGCAAUACUAGGGCAUUUUUUUGUACUCGCGCUACUGGCUUAUGUAAAAGAUCUUCAAGAGAUAAACCUGGUCCUUUUGGAACUCCUCUAAGUCUUAUAUCUCUUGUAAUUUCACCAAAUUGAGUCGAAUGUGCAGAACACCUCCGCACAGUAUCAGUAGCGCGAGCGUAAUUAUGUUGGCCCUGACGUCUUCUUCCCAAGCUGCCGGCAAGGCGCUGUCCGGGAAUCUCUGUACCCAGACACGCUGGAAAUCCCCGAAAACGCUCAUUACUCUACUCCAGGCCGUUUAAAGAGAGGACUCCUCGGGGACAGUGAUGAUCUCGGGCACGAUUCAAGCCGCUGUGUACAUUGCACGGGCGCGGCGGCGGUCGUGGCUCUCACCCGAAUACGCCUGAUCACGAUCUCGUUUUGACACAGAGAUUCUAUUGAAACAGACGUGUCACCGUAACGAGGCAUAAGUCGUUCGUUUCGUUCGUGAACGAUUUUCCUUUCCGGUACACGCUACAACGCUAUACCCGAAGAAUCAACGAAACGAGCGUCAUACAACCGCUGUCAUCUUGUCGACAUCUCCUGCGUAGCUCACGGUCCGAUCCCCAUGCCCUCUCCUAUCAUUUUGACGCCUCCACUAUACUUUAUUCACAGACACUGCCCUUCCUUAAACGCAGCAGGUGCGCUUCACGGAUGAUGAU
Molecule: unclassified non-coding RNA, 690 nt
Filed under: Bombus terrestris (buff-tailed bumblebee)
Lineage: Eukaryota; Metazoa; Arthropoda; Insecta; Hymenoptera; Apidae
Description: misc RNA ENSBTSG00005025416.1
Source: RNAcentral